Molecule: ribosomal RNA, 724 nt
Filed under: Melampsora epitea
Lineage: Eukaryota; Fungi; Basidiomycota; Pucciniomycetes; Pucciniales; Melampsoraceae
Description: eukaryotic LSU rRNA
Rfam family: Eukaryotic large subunit ribosomal RNA (bases 537-724)
Source: RNAcentral
UUUCUUGGUCAUUUAGAGGAAGUAAAAGUCGUAACAAGGUUUCCGUAGGUGAACCUGCGGAAGGAUCAUUAAUACAUGUUGAGUGCACUUGUAUAACUAUUACCACCCCACCCAGAGGUGCAUUGUGGCCUUUCACGAGGUUAGCAGUGUAUCAGUACGUAUCCCAAAGGCAACUUUGAGUUACAUUACCCAUCAUUUACCCCCAUUUACACUUAAUAAGUUUUAAGAAUGAUACCUAUAAUUAUAUAACUUUCAGCAAUGGAUCUCUAGGCUCUCACAUCGAUGAAGAACACAGUAAAACCUGUUUGAGUGUCACGAAACCCCCCUCGGCUCUUUCAUUAGAGACGGAUUCUGAGUGUUGGCGUGCAAACGCCUCGCUUUAAAUAGAUCAGCACUUUUGGAUGGUUGAAUAUUAGUUCAAAAGACGUACUUGAUGUUGUAUUUAUAUGUCAUUGAGGCAGUCUUUGGUCGUUACGACUAUCUGCUAAUACGAAAACUUGAAGAAUAGCUUCCUAACUAGAAUUAAAUUAACCUUUAGACUUCAAAUCAGGUGGGACUACCCGCUGAACUUAAGCAUAUCAAUAAGCGGAGGAAAAGAAAAUAACUAUGAUUCCCUUAGUAACGGCGAGUGAACAGGGAAAAGCCCAAAUUUGUAAUCUGGCACUUUUUACAAGUGUCCGAGUUGUAAUUUGUAGAACUGUUAUCCGUGCUGGACCAUGUACAA